RNAcentral lists this ribosomal RNA (441 nucleotides) under uncultured bacterium. RNAcentral's name for it is "bacterial SSU rRNA". It matches the Rfam family "Bacterial small subunit ribosomal RNA", at positions 958 to 1398 of the family's 1533-position model. The record is from RNAcentral.
AACGCGAAGAACCUUACCAGGUCUUGACAUCCCUCUGAAUACGCUAGAGAUAGCGUAGGCCUUCGGGACAGAGGAGACAGGUGGUGCAUGGUUGUCGUCAGCUCGUGUCGUGAGAUGUUGGGUUAAGUCCCGCAACGAGCGCAACCCUUGAUCUUAGUUGCCAGCACGUUAAGGUGGGCACUCUAGGAUGACUGCCGGUGACAAACCGGAGGAAGGUGGGGAUGACGUCAAAUCAUCAUGCCCCUUAUGACCUGGGCUACACACGUACUACAAUGGUCGGUACAACGGGGAGCGAAAUCGCGAGAUGGAGCCAAUCCUUAUAAGCCGAUCUCAGUUCGGAUUGCAGGCUGCAACUCGCCUGCAUGAAGUCGGAAUUGCUAGUAAUCGCGGAUCAGCAUGCCGCGGUGAAUACGUUCCCGGGCCUUGUACACACCGAUACUC